GACGAACGCUGGCGGCGCGCCUAACACAUGCAAGUCGAACGGUGAAGAGGAGCUUGCUCCUCGGAACAGUGGCGGACGGGUGAGUAACACGUGAGCAACCUGGCUCUAAGAGGGGGACAACAGUUGGAAACGACUGCUAAUACCGCAUGACGUAUCGGGAUGGCAUCUUCCUGAUACCAAAGAUUUUAUCGCUUAGAGAUGGGCUCGCGUCUGAUUAGAUAGUUGGCGGGGUAACGGCCCACCAAGUCGACGAUCAGUAGCCGGACUGAGAGGUUGAACGGCCACAUUGGGACUGAGACACGGCCCAGACUCCUACGGGAGGCAGCAGUGGGGGAUAUUGGACAAUGGGGGCAACCCUGAACCAGCGACGGCGCGUGAGGGAAGAAGGUUUUCAGAUAGUCAACCUCUGUUGACGGAGAAAAAAAUGAUGGUAUCCGUUUAGAAAGCCACGGCUAACUACGUG
Molecule: ribosomal RNA, 463 nt
Filed under: uncultured bacterium
Lineage: Bacteria
Description: partial 16S ribosomal RNA
Rfam family: Bacterial small subunit ribosomal RNA
Source: RNAcentral